UACGGAGGGGGCUAGCGUUGUUCGGAAUUACUGGGCGUAAAGCGCGCGUAGGCGGACCUGCAAGUCGGGGGUGAAAGCCCGAGGCUCAACCUCGGAACUGCCUUCGAUACUGCGGGUCUCGAGUCCGGGAGAGGUGAGUGGAAUUCCUGGUGUAGCGGUGAAAUGCGCAGAUAUCAGGAGGAACACCAGCGGCGAAGGCGGCGCUCUGGGCCGGUACUGACGCUGAGACGCGAAAGCGUGGGGAGCGAACAGG
RNAcentral lists this ribosomal RNA (253 nucleotides) under uncultured bacterium. RNAcentral's name for it is "partial 16S ribosomal RNA". It matches the Rfam family "Bacterial small subunit ribosomal RNA", at positions 524 to 776 of the family's 1533-position model. The record is from RNAcentral.